RNAcentral lists this ribosomal RNA (774 nucleotides) under uncultured Neocallimastigales. RNAcentral describes it as "partial large subunit ribosomal RNA". It matches the Rfam family "Eukaryotic large subunit ribosomal RNA", at positions 24 to 628 of the family's 3401-position model. The record is from RNAcentral. Lineage: Eukaryota; Fungi; Neocallimastigomycota; Neocallimastigomycetes; Neocallimastigales.
UAUGUGAUCGUCUCUCGCAUAUCAAUAAGCGGAGGAAAAGAAACUAACAAGGAUUCCCCUAGUAACGGCGAGUGAAGCGGGAAGAGCUCAAACUUGAAAUCUUAAAGGGUUUCCCUUUACGAAUUGUAGUUUAAAGAAGUGUUUUCUGUUGAGGUUUUGGUAAAAGUUCUUCGGAAUAGGACAUCAUAGAGGGUGAGAAUCCCGUAUUUGACCUUUACUUUCAACUUUGUGAUACACUUUCAAAGAGUCGGAUUGUUUGGGAAUGCAGUCCAAAAUGGGUGGUAAAUUUCAUCUAAAGCUAAAUAUUGGCGAGAGACCGAUAGCGAACAAGUACCGUGAGGGAAAGAUGAAAAGAACUUUGAAAAGAGAGUUAAACAGUACGUGAAAUUGUCAAAAGGGAAGCGUUUGACACCAGUGUUGUUUUUCUGAAAAUCAAUUAAAGAACUGUUUAUGCUAAGUUGUUUAGACUUUAUCAGCUAUCUGCUUAGUUUUGAGCUUUUCUUUAAUGCACUUUUCAGUUAACAAGUCAACAUCAAUUUCUUUUGCUGUAAAAAAGCUUGAGGAAGGUGGCUUGAGAUUCGUCUUAAGUGUUUAUAGCCUCUUGCCUAUGCAGUCGGAGAGAUUGAGGUCUGCAGCGUAGAUCCUUCGGGGCUAAAUGCAUUUGUGCUAAGUUAUAGCAUUUUAUAGACAACUUGUUGACUAUGAUUUGUCUUGUAGCUUACUCGCUUAUGUUAUUUUACCUACGCUUAGGAUGUUGAGUCGUAGAGCACGCAG